GGAGAGGUGGCAGAGUGGUUGAAUGCGGCGGUCUCGAAAACCGUUACGUCGGUAAUCCCGGCGUCGGGGGUUCGAAUCCCCCCCUCUCCGCCA
This 93-nucleotide transfer RNA is filed under the name Rubrobacter sp. RNAcentral describes it as "tRNA-Ser". It matches the Rfam family "tRNA". Rfam says of the family: Transfer RNA (tRNA) molecules are approximately 80 nucleotides in length. Their secondary structure includes four short double-helical elements and three loops (D, anti-codon, and T loops). Lineage: Bacteria; Bacillati; Actinomycetota; Rubrobacteria; Rubrobacterales; Rubrobacteraceae. The record is from RNAcentral. RNAcentral also lists the same sequence under 4 other names.